UCUCUUGAAACUUUUAUUUUGAAACUGAAACACGCCGAAAAGCGGAAGCAGGCUUCUGCACACCUGAGGUGCACGCGCUGCGUACACCCCCUCUGUCGGGCAUACGCAGCAGAGCGUGCGCGCCAGAGGUGGCUGACUUGAGCAGAAAGCGCAGAACCAGCAAGAAAGGAAAAGACAGAAACAGACAGAGUUAACCUGAGCUUGAAAUUAACCAAGAGUCAGCAGAGCGACUUUUCACAGGGGGAACAGGACCUGUUGAUUUUUCUAACUGAUGGCUACACACAGCUCUGCUGGACAGACUGCAGGUUACUGGAGCGUGUCUGCAAAUGUGAAGCCCCCCUUCAGUCUAAUAUUGACACCGUUAUGCCAUCUGCACUUCCCGCUACCUACUCUUGAAAAUGAUGUGCGCAUCUACUUCACUAUUUACGGUUCAACAUGUUUCCUGUUGCUCUGAGGUGUUCAGGCACGAGUCCGUCGUCUGGAAGAGCAGGUGGUGAAGAUGUCUUCACUGACUGAAAUGCCCUGAAGGUGGAAUUAAAGUUAAACUUUAUUUGAACAUAAAUCAGUAAAGACAGGCCUCCAUCCUGACAUGCAGUACUUGCAUUACUUAUGUAUGAUAUGCAUGCUCACAGAACCCAGAUGAUGCUAGCAUGUUUUGAAGCCAAUGUCUGGAUAGUGAAUGUGAGUAUA
Oreochromis aureus is the source of this 690-nucleotide long non-coding RNA. RefSeq lists it as uncharacterized. The transcript is spliced from 3 exons. The record is from RefSeq and is a predicted model, not a curated record. Lineage: Eukaryota; Metazoa; Chordata; Actinopteri; Cichliformes; Cichlidae.